CUCCAAAUACAAACAUAUGUCAAAAUCAUACAAAUUGGUCUAGUGGGUCAAAAGAUAGAUCGAAUGCCUUUGUGACCAAAUGAAGCAUGGCUUUUCUGCCCAAAACCAGUUCCACAGAGUCUUCUAUCCUGGAGAUAAUUGGGAGGUAAUCCAAUUAUCUCCAAGGACAGAGGCAAAACUCAAUUGAACACAUGGUAGCAAAAGACAAUAAAAUACAUAAAAAUAUAUAACUGUGCAGCCAUUGCAUAAAACAGGUACAUUCAACAUAUCCCCAGAUAAUUUAGCUUUGAGCGCACAUUAUUACUGAAUGGCGCUCAGAUCACAUACAUACAGUUCAAUUGCCAUGGAGCCAAAGUCUUUCACAAAGUCUUUCAUUAUACGAAUGGGCUCCAUGGCAUAGCUAUCUGGGGUAUCACCGCUCAAACAGGGCAAGCACCGAAUGACCCGUCUUUCUUGUCUUUGCAGGAGAAAUCAAGCGUUUCAGCAUGGGGCUAUAGUCUAAAGGCAGCAGGCGGGCAACCAGGCUCCUCCAAUGCACAGUGGCGAUAUUGGUCUCGUCACAUUUCUCCCCUUUUCCAAACAGACUAACAGGAUAUCUGAACUCCUGCCAGUCAGUGUCCUGGUUAGUCCAGCAGCUCACCCACAAAACACAAUUAGCAGUACAGCCCAUCCACAAUAACUGGUUACUACACUUGGCUAGAGGAGAAACUUGUCCAUGUCUAGGUGCCUCACCACGGCUGUGCGGGGUACUGGUAGGCUGCCUUGGUGGGUUGCUGAGUGGGCAGAGAUCAGCAGUACUCUGCCCUGGUGCCAGCCCUACCACGGAAGUAGCCUGGUUGGAGCCUGGUUGUUGGAGGGGGAGACCAACUGUCUCCCCUUUGGCUAAACAGCCCUGUUGCUGGGGGACAGGACCGACCGUCUCUGCCCCCGGUAGCUCAGCCUGCCGCUGGGGAAUGGAGACUGGGCUGUCACACAGGGUCACACAAGGGUCCUUCAAAUAAAAAAUACUUUAAGACCACUGGGAACGGUCUAAAGUAACUUGACUAUAGCAUCGAUCUAUAAGAAAAAUUAGAGAGCCAUAGUAUAUAACAAUGUAUGAAACAUACAAGAAUAAAAACACUCACAUUUGCAUAGUAAAUACGAGCAUAUAGUAUAAUGGCAGGAAGAAAAUCUUGCAAUGUAGUGAUGUAGGGAUUCCCUCACUUCCUAGCUCCAGCCAACUGGGAGGUAAGUCAGGAUGUAGAUCCUGGUCGGAGCGCCACGUGAGUUCCAUUGAUCUUUCCUCCUGCAUUCCACUAUAAGCCGGUAUUACAGCAAACUUUGUGACAGAUGCAGAAAAGCCUUACACGUUUCGUGAACUCUGGUUCACUUCAUUCGAGGCUGGCAUCUGCAUUAAACGGACACUAUAGUCACCCAGACCACUUCAGCUCAGUGAAGUGGUCUGGGUGCCAGGUCCCUCAGGUUUUAACCCUCAGAUGCAAACAUAGCAUUUUCAGAGAAACUGCUAUGUUUACAUUUGGGGUUAAUCCAGCCUAAUCCAUGCGCAUUCCGUUCCACUAGGGAGCUGAAGUCAGACGGGGAGGAGAAGUCAUCAGCACCGAGGGACCACGGCGCUGGAUAAAGUUAAGCUGCUGAAGGGGUUUUAACCUAUUAUUUUGGGUAUUACUCUUGGUCGCCUAAC
RNAcentral lists this long non-coding RNA (1681 nucleotides) under Pelobates cultripes (western spadefoot toad). The record is from RNAcentral. Lineage: Eukaryota; Metazoa; Chordata; Amphibia; Anura; Pelobatidae.